GUUAGAGGCAGGUAGCCUAGUGGUUAGAGACAGGUAGCCUAGUGGUUAGAGACAGGUAGCCUAGUGGUUAGAGACAGGUAGCCUAGUGUUUAGAGGCAGGUAGCCUAGUGGUUAGAGGCAGGUAGCCUAGUGGUUACAGGCAGGUAACCUAGUGGUUAGAGGCAAGUAGCCUAGUGGUUAGAGGCAGGUAGACUAGUGGUUAGAGGCAGGUAGCCUAGUGGUUAGAGUCAGGUAGCCUAGUGGUUAGAGGCAGGUAGCCUAGUGGUUAGAGGCUAUGGUUAGAGGCAGGUAGCCUAGUGGUUAGAGGCAGGUAGCCUAGUGGUUAGAGACAGGUAGCCUAGUGGUUAGAGGCAGGUAGCCUAGUGGUUAGAGACAGGUAGCCUAGUGGUUAGAGGCAGGUAGCCUAGUGGUUAGAGGCAGGUAGCCUAGUGGUUAGAGGCAGGUAGCCUAGUGGUUAGAGGCAGGUAGCCUAGUGGUUAGAGGCUAUGGUUAGAGGCAGGUAGCCUAGUGGUUAGAGGCAGGUAGCCUAGUGGUUAGAGACAGGUAGCCUAGUGGUUAGAGGCAGGUAGCCUAGUGGUUAGAGGCUAUGGUUAGAGGCAGGUAGCCUAGUGGUUAGAGGCAGGUAGCCUAGUGGUUAGAGACAGGUAGCCUAGUGGUUAGAGGCAGGUAGCCUAGUGGUUAGAGACAGGUAGCCUAGUGGUUAGAGGCAGGUAGCCUAGUGGUUAGAGGCAGGUAGCCUAGUGGUUAGAGGCAGGUAGAGUAGUGGUUAGAGGCAGGUAGACUAGUGGUUAGAGGCAAGUAGCCUAGUGGUUAGAGGCAGGUAGACUAGUGGUUAGAGCAUUGGGCCAGUAACCGAAAAGUUACUCGAUCAAAUCCCCCCUGAGCCGACAAGGUAAAAAUCUAUCAUUCUGCCCCUGAACAAGGCAGUUAACCCACUCUUCCCCCGGUAGGCCGUCAUUGUAAAUAAGAAUUAGUUCUUAACUGACUUGCCUAGUUAAAUAUAUAUAUAUAUAUAUAUAUAUAUAUAUAUAUAUAUUUUAAUACUGUCGCUCCCCACGGAUUAAACAAACUAGAGCUGAACUGUUUUCUCUAGUGUACCUACCUUUUUACUGAUCAGUAUUUUGUGUAAUUCUUUGCCGAAGCUGACUUUUUGAUCACCGCCUUUGUGUGCUUCUUGUGUGUGUUUUAAUAUAAUGUAUUUUAACAAACCAGUGCGUCUGUUACGUACGCAACUCUUACAUAGUGUCCCUUUACGCA
Oncorhynchus tshawytscha (Chinook salmon) is the source of this 1257-nucleotide long non-coding RNA. The record is from Ensembl. NCBI's taxonomy places the organism in Eukaryota, Metazoa, Chordata, Actinopteri, Salmoniformes, Salmonidae.